GACGAACGCUGGCGGCGUGCUUAACACAUGCAAGUCGAACGGUAAGGCCCUUCGGGGUACACGAGUGGCGAACGGGUGAGUAACACGUGGGUGAUCUGCCCUGCACUUCGGGAUAAGCCUGGGAAACUGGGUCUAAUACCGGAUAGGACCCUGGGAUGCAUGUCCUGGGGUGGAAAGCUUUUGCGGUGUGGGAUGGGCCCGCGGCCUAUCAGCUUGUUGGUGGGGGGAUGGCCUACCAAGGCGACGACGGGUAGCCGGCCUGAGAGGGUGACCGGCCACACUGGGAAUGGGAUACGGCCCAGACUACGACGGGAGGCAGCAGUGGGGAAUAUUGCACAAGGGGCGCAAGCCUGAUGCAGCGACGCCGCGUGAGGGAUGACGGCCUUCGGGUUGUAAACCUCUUUCAGCACCGACGAAGCGCAAGUGACGGUAGGUGCAGAAGAAGGACCGGCCAACUACGUGCCAGCCGCCGCCGUAA
RNAcentral lists this ribosomal RNA (478 nucleotides) under uncultured bacterium. RNAcentral describes it as "partial 16S ribosomal RNA". It matches the Rfam family "Bacterial small subunit ribosomal RNA", at positions 28 to 523 of the family's 1533-position model. The record is from RNAcentral.